This 449-nucleotide ribosomal RNA is filed under the name uncultured bacterium. Its description in RNAcentral is "partial 16S ribosomal RNA". It matches the Rfam family "Bacterial small subunit ribosomal RNA", at positions 29 to 523 of the family's 1533-position model. The record is from RNAcentral.
AGCGAACGCUGGCGGCAGGCUUAACACAUGCAAGUCGAGCGCCGUAGCAAUACGGAGCGGCAGACGGGAGAGUAACACGUGGGAACGUACCCUUUGGUUCGGAACAACCCAGGGAAACUUGGGCUAAUACCGAAUAAGCCCUCACGGGGAAAGAUUUAUCGCCGAAGGAUCGGCCCGCGUCUGAUUAGCUAGUUGGUGAGGUAAUGGCCCACCAAGGCGACGAUCCGUAGCUGGUCUGAGAGGAUGAUCAGCCUCACUGGGACUGAGACACGGCCCAGACUCCUACGGGAGGCAGCAGUGGGGAAUAUUGGACAAUGGGCGCAAGCCUGAUCCAGCCAUGCCGCGUGGGUGAUGAAGGCCCUAGGGUUGUAAAGCCCUUUCGGCGGGGAAGAUAAUGACGGUACCCGCAGAAGAAGCCCCGGCUAACUUCGUGCCAGCCGCCGCGGUAA